UACGAAGGGGGCUAGCGUUGCUCGGAAUUACUGGGCGUAAAGCGCACGUAGGCGGAUUGUUAAGUCGGGGGUGAAAUCCUGGAGCUCAACUCCAGAACUGCCUUCGAUACUGGCGAUCUCGAGUUCGGGAGAGGUGAGUGGAACUGCGAGUGUAGAGGUGAAAUUCGUAGAUAUUCGGAAGAACACCAGUGGCGAAGGCGGCUCACUGGCCCGAUACUGACGCUGAGGCACGAAAGCGUGGGGAGCAAACAGG
Molecule: ribosomal RNA, 253 nt
Filed under: uncultured bacterium
Lineage: Bacteria
Description: partial 16S ribosomal RNA
Rfam family: Bacterial small subunit ribosomal RNA
Source: RNAcentral